UCCUCGUUUAAGCGAGGCAGUCUGUCCAGAGUGCUUCCUUCUCUCGAAGGAGUGGCAACAGGACACAAGGGUUGCGCUCGUUGCGGGACUUAACCCAACAUCUCACGACACGAGCUGACGACAGCCAUGCAGCAUCUGUGUGGCACCCUCGAAGGUCACACGUUUCCGUGCGCUUGCAGCCCCAUGUCAAGUCCAGGUAAGGUUCUUCGCGUUGCAUCGAAUUAAAGAACUUGCUCCGCUGCUUGUGCGGGCCCCCGUCAAUUCUUUUGAGUUUUAGCCUUGCGGCCGUACUCCCCAGGCGGGGCACUUAUUGCGUUUGCGCCGGCACCGAGGGGGUCGAUACCCCCGACACCUAGUGCCCAUCGUUUACGGCGUGGACUAC
This 382-nucleotide unclassified non-coding RNA is filed under the name uncultured bacterium. Its description in RNAcentral is "contains 16S-23S intergenic spacer region". The record is from RNAcentral.